This 232-nucleotide ribosomal RNA is filed under the name Clostridium botulinum Af84. RNAcentral's name for it is "partial 23S ribosomal RNA". It matches the Rfam family "Bacterial large subunit ribosomal RNA", at positions 2694 to 2925 of the family's 2925-position model. The record is from RNAcentral. Lineage: Bacteria; Bacillati; Bacillota; Clostridia; Eubacteriales; Clostridiaceae.
GGGAUGGACCAACCUCUGGUGCACCAGUUGUCACGCCAGUGGCACAGCUGGGUAGCUAUGUUGGGACUGGAUAAACGCUGAAAGCAUCUAAGCGUGAAGCCAACCUCAAGAUGAGAUUUCCCAUAGCGUAAGCUAGUAAGACUCCUGGAAGAACACCAGGUUGAUAGGUCAGAGAUGUAAGCAUGGCAACAUGUUAAGUUGACUGAUACUAAUAAGUCGAGGGCUUGACCAA